Molecule: long non-coding RNA, 798 nt
Filed under: Ananas comosus (pineapple)
Lineage: Eukaryota; Viridiplantae; Streptophyta; Magnoliopsida; Poales; Bromeliaceae
Description: long non-coding RNA (ACOM_LNC038430)
Source: RNAcentral
GUUCGAGUUAUCCUAGCAGAAUUACAGGCAAUCCUGUCAGAAUUACUGUGUUUGGUUCAUCCGCUAUGUAAUCUAAUCGUUAAUAUAGUAUUACAAAUCGAGCAGUAUUACACCGUAAAUAUUAAUGAGAAGGGGGUUGUGUAUCUUACAUUACUGAAAACCAGUAAUAUUACAUAUUAUGUAAAAUAACAAUUUUACCCCUCUAACUUCCGAAACCCUUUCAAUAUGUCAUUUUAAAAAAAAUAAUUUUAAAUUUCAAACUCUAAAUUUAAAAUUCAAAUUUAAAUUUUAAAUUUGAAUUUAAAUUUUAGAUUUUAAAUUUCAAAUUCUAAAUUUUAAAUUUCAAAUUUNNNNNNNNNNNNNNNNNNNNNNNNNAUUUAUAUUUUGAAUUUUAAAUUUAUAAAUUUCAUAUUUAUAUUUUAAAUUAAAAUAUUAAAUUUAUAUUUUUGUUCAAAUUUAAAAUUUAAAAUUUAAAAUUUAAAAUUUUUAAAAAUAAAUUAUUUUAAAAUAAAAUUUAGUAAAAAAAUAUUAUUUAUAAACAGUAAAAAAAAAAAUUUACAAAAUAUGGUUAAGAGCAAUUUUGGAAUAGACUAUACUUUAUUGUCUUGAUUAUUGAAUUUUAUAGAUAGAACCAAACAUAUUAAUGUUAUAACCACUGCAAUCCAGCAUUAUAUUACUGUAUUAAACCAAACGCGCUAAUGCAGUAUAGGUAGUAAUCUCUUUUAGAAAUCCAAAAUACUUGGAUAUAUCGAAAUACUCUGUAAUAUUAUAUAAGUUGAACCAAACACGCCCUUAGGA